Molecule: ribosomal RNA, 328 nt
Filed under: uncultured eukaryote
Lineage: Eukaryota
Description: partial 18S ribosomal RNA
Rfam family: Eukaryotic small subunit ribosomal RNA
Source: RNAcentral
CCCUUAGAUGUCCUGGGCCGCGCGCGCGUUACACUGAUGCAUUCAACGAGCUUAUAACCUUGGCCGAGAGGCCUGGGCAAUCUUGUUAACGUGCAUCGUGAUAGGGAUAGAUUAUUGAAAUUAUUAAUCUUGAACGAGGAAUUCCUAGUAAACGCAGAUCAUCAAUCUGCAUUGAUUACGUCCCUGUCCUUUGUACACACCGCCCGUCGCACCUACCGAUUGGAUGGUCCGGUGAAGCCUCGGGAUUGUGGUUCUUGCCGCUUUAUUGUGGCGUGACCGCGAGAACUUGUCUAAACCUUAUCAUCUAGAGGAAGGUGAAGUCGUAACA